UACGAAGGGGGCUAGCGUUGUUCGGAAUUACUGGGCGUAAAGCGCGCGCAGGCGGUUUUUCAAGUCAGUGGUGAAAGCCCGCAGCUCAACUCCGGAACUGCCAUUGAAACUGUAAAACUUGAGGACGAGAGAGGUGAGUGGAAUUCCCAGUGUAGAGGUGAAAUUCGUAGAUAUUGGGAAGAACACCGGUGGCGAAGGCGGCUCACUGGCUCGUAUCUGACGCUCAGGCGCGACAGCGUGGGGAUCAAACAGG
RNAcentral lists this ribosomal RNA (253 nucleotides) under uncultured bacterium. Its description in RNAcentral is "partial 16S ribosomal RNA". It matches the Rfam family "Bacterial small subunit ribosomal RNA", at positions 524 to 776 of the family's 1533-position model. The record is from RNAcentral.